GCUGAAUCCUCGUUGGCUCUGAGUCUCUGACAAUGAUGAUUCAUGCACCCACCCAGCAAUGAGCAACCCAAACAUUAAUCCCUUGCCAGCUCCCACGAUGUCUCUCUAAACUCUCCUCCCGUCUUCUGGGUCUCACUCAAGAUUCAAAAAUCCAAUCCAACAUCAAAAUCCUUGAUUUUGUGGAAAUUUUACAAGAAUUAAUCAGAGAUACUUAAUAUAUAGCAGAAAACGGGAAAAAGGGGGAAUUUUUCCCUUUUUUUUUUAAUUUUAUUUGCAUCAUGUUAUCAAAUUUAGACCACAACAUCUCCAGCUCCACAGUUGAAUCCCGGCCACUGGAACCCUCACCGGCCCCCGCACUGGAGCCACGCCCACCAACAUCUUCCGAUGAAGACUUCUUCUCCUCAACCUCCAUAGCCUCCUCCUCUUCCUCAGAAGACAUCCAGACCAACCACUCUUCACCACCGCUUCCGCCCGCGGCACCGCCACCGCCGCAGAUCCCCAUCUCUUGGCCGGCAAGUGGGGCUAUUUCUCGAGAAUGGGUCAACGAGUUAAUGAAUGCGUUUGAAUGGGCUUCGAGAGCUGUUCCUCCGCAGGAGUUUCCUUCUCUUCUUCCGGUUGAGGUAUUCGAUCGGCUAAUCCUGUCCGCCUCUAAAAUUUUGCAUAAAGAGAAAAAUUGCGUGAGUAUUGAGGGUGAAGAAUUAGGGCGGGUGUCAAAGGUUGUGGUGGUCGGAGACUUGCAUGGACAGUUGCAUGAUGUGUUGUUUUUACUGAAGGAUGCCGGAUAUCCGGGUGAAGAUAGAAUUUUUGUGUUUAACGGGGAUUAUGUUGAUAGAGGAGCUUGGGGUCUUGAGACUUUCUUGCUCCUCCUUGCAUGGAAGGUGAUUUUGCCACACAGGGUAUUUCUUCUUCGUGGAAACCAUGAAUCCAAGUAUUGUACUUCAGUGUAUGGGUUUGAGAAGGAGGUAUCAUGUAAGUAUGGAGAUAAAGGAAAACAUGUCUACCGCAAGUGUUUAGGAUGUUUUGAGGGUCUUCCUCUUGCUUCCAUCAUUGCUGGGCGUGUUUACACUGCACAUGGUGGGAUUUUUCGCAGUAUUCCAAGUACUCCUUCAAAAAGAUACAAAGGCAAGAAGAACCGUAAAGUAAUUGUCGACCCCAACUCAAAUGCAUUAUCUCUUGGUUCAUUUGAAGAGCUAUCUAAAGCUAGGAGAUCUGUUCUUGAUCCUCCUUGGGAAGGUCAAAACUUGAUUCCCGGUGAUGUUCUUUGGUCAGAUCCAUCCAUGGAUCCAGGUCUUUCCCCUAACAAAGAACGAGGCAUUGGUCUUUUAUGGGGUCCAGACUGUACGGAAGAAUUUCUGAAAAAGUUUGACCUAAAGUUAAUCAUCAGAUCACAUGAGGGUCCUGAUGCCAGGGAAAAGAGGCCUGGACUAGGACAAAUGAAUGAAGGGUACACCAUAGAUCAUGUUGUAGACUCUGGGAAGCUGAUUACAGUCUUUAGUGCACCAGACUAUCCACAAUUUCAGUACAGAUGAUGGAAUUGUGAUGAAAUCAAUAUCUGUGCACACCAAGACUGGAAUAUAAGCAAGCACUUGAAUACCUUGUCAUACUUGACCAAAUAUCAAAUUUAGUUGAGCUGCUUUAGCAACUGAUGAAAGGUACCGGAAUAAAGGAGCAUAUAUUGUUCUUGAGCCCCCCGAUUUUGACACCCCGGUUUUCCAUACUUUUGAUGCGAUUACUCCUAGACCAGUGGUGAAUCCCUAUUAUGACUAUGAAGAUGUGAUUGAUUCUGAUGAAGAACUGGAUAUGGCAUCGAUGGUACCAGCUACAUGAAGUUAUCGACGAAAUGCUAUAUAAUUAUAUACCUUAGAACUACUUGGAUAUCUGUGCGUGUUUGAGUUAAUGGUUCUUGUAUUCUCUAAUUACAGCAAUUUUUUGUUUUCUGUGUAAAUUUUCUUGGUUCAAGUUUCUGUAUUGUCCUUUGCUCCAGGAAGCUUGCAGCCCCUUCCACUGUAGAAUUUUGCAUCGAGUUUCAUAUAGUGUAGAUAGCAAAUAGCUUGGAAAAUUUUGUCAGAACUAUCUAUGAUACUUGUAUAUGAUGACAUUCAGAGUCUUCUUUUGAAUAUUCUGGAGGUAGAAUUUCUCUCA
This is an RNA transcript of Coffea arabica (coffee), 2142 nucleotides long. It is a transcript of the gene named serine/threonine-protein phosphatase 7, with no coding region annotated. The record is from RefSeq and is a predicted model, not a curated record. NCBI's taxonomy places the organism in Eukaryota, Viridiplantae, Streptophyta, Magnoliopsida, Gentianales, Rubiaceae.